UGAACGCUGGCGGCGUGCCUAAUACAUGCAAAUCGAGCGAACAGACGAGGAGCUUGCUCCUCUGACGUUAGCGGCGGACGGGUGAGUAACACGUGGAUAACCUACCUAUAAGACUGGGAUAACUUCGGGAAACCGGAGCUAAUACCGGAUAAUAUAUUGAACCGCAUGGUUCAAUAGUGAAAGACGGUUUUGCUGUCACUUAUAGAUGGAUCCGCGCCGCAUUAGCUAGUUGGUAAGGUAACGGCUUACCAAGGCAACGAUGCGUAGCCGACCUGAGAGGGUGAUCGGCCACACUGGAACUGAGACACGGUCCAGACUCCUACGGGAGGCAGCAGUAGGGAAUCUUCCGCAAUGGGCGAAAGCCUGACGGAGCAACGCCGCGUGAGUGAUGAAGGUCCUCGGAUCGUAAAACUCUGUUAUUAGGGAAGAACAAAUGUGUAAGUAACUAUGCACGUCUUGACGGUACCUAAUCAGAAAGCCACGGCUAACUACGUG
RNAcentral lists this ribosomal RNA (495 nucleotides) under uncultured bacterium. Its description in RNAcentral is "partial 16S ribosomal RNA". It matches the Rfam family "Bacterial small subunit ribosomal RNA", at positions 30 to 507 of the family's 1533-position model. The record is from RNAcentral.